AAGUCUUUCGCAGUUUAUCAUCAAAAGGAUUUCAACGUAAUGCCAGGACAUAUACUAUAAUGAUUAGUGGAUUUUGUAACGCGGGGCUAAGAAGUGAAGCAGAAAACUUGCUUAGGGAAAUGAAAGAGAAGGGUUGUUCUCCAAAUGGUUGCACGUACAACAUAAUUAUCCGCGGGUUUAUCAAUAGCAAUGAGACAUCAAGGGCGAUGAGACUGAUUAAAGAAACGGUGGAAAGAGGUUUUUCUGCAGAUGCAUGGACUACAGAAUUGAUAGUUGAAACAGAUCCCGUUUUGUUGGCUUUGAUAGAAAGAGCAGUGUGAAGUUCAUUUGUAUUUUUGAUAGAUGAAACGGAUCCUUAUGACCAGCACAAUGCAGUUUGAAACUGUUGCACUUUUGACAACUUUCGGUUGUUCCUUCAAUGCUGCAUUGGAGCAAGUUCUUCCACAGACGAGUCCAGUUCAGGAUAUGAAUCUGAUGGAGAAGCAAUGGAGGAAAUGAUAGCCACAUCUGAUCAAAAGAUGUAUCCAAAUUCCUUCACGAAAGGAAGCGUUUGUAAUCGACCAAGUGAUGUCAAACGCGAUUAAAAGGAGAUUACACGAUUUCCAUGUUUGCUUAUACAUUUUUGUAUGUUAUGUGCACCAAAUAUUGAAAGAGGAGAAGGUGUGGACAGUAGCCACAACUCAUUUGGUCUCUCAGGCAUCAACUAUCUUCAGCAUUCUUGAAAAUAAGAGAAAUCUGAGGCUUCAUUUCAACUGCAAACUGUGGUAUCUGUUGUUCAAUCCCUACUAGCCCAGCCAAACACAGUGGAAAUAAAUUGAGUUCACCUUCUAAGCGCUGCACGGGAUUUGCAGAAAACUUUUUGUACCCCCUCUUUUGCCCUCAAGACCAAGUUUUCUUUAACCCCAACUAUCCACAGCGUCCGUUGACACUGCUCGAGUACCAUAUUGUGCCAUUCAAGAUGGACAAAGAUGCCAUGGAGGCGUAUUUGCUUCACGGUUCCAAGGUUGACACUCUUCUGCCCGACCAUCCUGUCGUUGUUACUUCCCUGCCUGCCGGCACUAGAGGAUGCACUUCUCUUAACCAAGUCAAAGUCACUAAGUGGGAUGUCUACAACAACGGACGACUGAUUGUACAUGGGUUAAAGGACUUCUUCGAUCCAAUUGUCCAAACCCUAAGGUAUCUGUAAUAUGACGUGAUGAAUGUGGAAGAGGAUUCUUAUCAAGGAUUUUCUGCGUGGCCAGAUGCAGUUGGGAUUAUUAGUUGGUUUCUCUUUCGAGCACUGCUGGCUGGUUUCACCUCUUCUUCAUUUAUUUCUUGUAAUAAGCCAUAUGAUGAUGGAGAAUAUGAAUCUCUGCCACUUAGUACUAUGGUCUAGAGACACUUAUCUUUUAUUUGUAUGUCAAGAGUUUUAGGUUCAAACAUCGUGAAUGACAAGUUUGAUGCCAA
Molecule: long non-coding RNA, 1446 nt
Organism: Malus domestica (apple)
Lineage: Eukaryota; Viridiplantae; Streptophyta; Magnoliopsida; Rosales; Rosaceae
Source: RefSeq, a predicted model, not a curated record